Arthrobacter sp. ZBG10 is the source of this 82-nucleotide non-coding RNA. The record is from Rfam. NCBI's taxonomy places the organism in Bacteria, Bacillati, Actinomycetota, Actinomycetes, Micrococcales, Micrococcaceae.
GCGCGAGUGGUGAAAUUGGCAGACACGCAGGAUUUAGGUUCCUGUGCCUUCGGGCGUGGGGGUUCAAGUCCCCCCUUGCGCA